UAUUCACAACGUAGUGCCAGUAGAUAAACAGAAGCAGAUAGUAAAUCUCUAACCCAACCAGAAAAAGAAAAUUCUGGAUUUUCCACCUCAGUUGCAUAGACUGCUCAAUGAGUAAUAGUAAUACAAAAGUUAAUCACCUCAUACAACAGUGACGCCGCUGAAUCAGAAGAGACUUAAAAAGUGCAACUACUCAGACUCAAAUGUCUGCCACUCAAUACUCGCCAAAGUAUGGCGGCCACCACAAGCGACCAGUUUAGCGCACCAACGCCCUCCUUCUGCGCUACUGACAUCACUUGGAGGCGGAAUAUUUAUUGGAACUUCCGAUGGAUGACCAGUCGUCGACUUUCUACCAUAUCCUAGUCGUCCAUGGUCUCCCCGCCCAAAAGAAAACAUUCGACCAUCAUGCGCUAAUGCAACAGAGUGUGUUCCCCCACAUGAAACCUGAACAAUGUUCUCCCCAGCUAAAAGUUGAACCUUUUGCGGCACCAUUUUACUACUCUUGUCAUCCCCAAAUCCAAGUCUACCAUGUUCUCCUCUUCCCCAGCCAUAAACCUCCCCCUCAUUUGUCAAAGCUGCAGAAUGCCAUCCUCCAGCAGCGAUAUCAACCAAAGUGAGACCAGAUAACCCUUGAAUGGCAAUGGGUUGUGAUCUUGGCUGGGUAUCCCCAGUUCCAAGUUGCCCAUACUCAUUAUUACCCCAUGCCAUUAGAACUCCGUCAUCAAGAAGAGCCAAGUUAUGAAAGGCCCCUACUGCAAUCAACCUCACACUUGCAAGACCUUGUACACGGACAGGAGUAGAAAUUUGCUUUAUGUCACCAGGAGGCCAUGGUUGACCCCAUGUCCAUACUUGUCCUUCCCUUGUAAGAACAACAGAGUGUGUACCACCAGCAGCUACCUGACGAACAGAAAGCUUAGAGGCACAACGCUUAGGGAUCACAAUAUCUCUCUUUACAGGCCUUCCAGUGUCAUCUUUCCUUUCUGGUUCUUCACCACAUUGUCCGUAUUCAUUACCACCCCAAGCAUAAGCCUUGCCUUGAUCAUCAACAGCCAAACAAUGCCAGCCACCAAUUGCCGCCUGAACAAUUUUCACAUUGGCAAGAGCUUUAACCUGACUAGGAAUGUUCUCAGUUUUUGUCUCAGGUGGGUGUCCCAAUGUCCCUCUUUGAUUCCAACCCCACGUAAACAAUCGGCCAUCUUCACAAAUGGCAAGAGAGUUUCUACUUCCAGCAACAACAGACGAAACUUUUUCAGAUUCUAGAGCUUUAAUUGAACAAACCCACUCUUUCUCUUCAUUGUUUCCAAUACCCAAUUGACCAUCUUCUCCAGAGCCCCAAGCGAUGACGGCGUUUCUAGAAGCCAUAUAUACUUAUGGCUGACUGCUUUCAGUUUUCUGUUUGCUGAAGAGCUAAUUCUGAAUAUUUUAGAGCUUCCCGUCUUGAUUUUCAAGAAUCGGUAAAAAUGGUGGCUUCUUCU
RNAcentral lists this unclassified non-coding RNA (1472 nucleotides) under Hevea brasiliensis (rubber tree). The record is from RNAcentral. Lineage: Eukaryota; Viridiplantae; Streptophyta; Magnoliopsida; Malpighiales; Euphorbiaceae.